This 294-nucleotide long non-coding RNA is filed under the name Citrus sinensis (sweet orange). Its description in RNAcentral is "long non-coding RNA (CSIN_LNC005170)". Lineage: Eukaryota; Viridiplantae; Streptophyta; Magnoliopsida; Sapindales; Rutaceae. The record is from RNAcentral.
AUUAAUCAACACAAUAAGUGAAAAAUUAAUAAUUUUAUCCUUAUAAAUGCACAUCAAACCCCAAAACCUCACGAUUAAAAGUGACUCUCUUAAAAGAAAAUAUACCCCAAAUUAAAUUGUCACUCUAAAAAAAAGGUAGAUUUGAGAGACUAAUAAAACAAUAUCACACGCUCUCACCAAGAUGAAAGAAUAACACCCACAACUUAGAAAUAAAAUGAUCUCAACUUAGGGAAAUUAUUAGCCAAACUAAUUUUUAUUUUUAUGCAUUACCACAUCUUUUAGUCAAUAUCACCA